Molecule: long non-coding RNA, 187 nt
Organism: Haliotis rubra (blacklip abalone)
Lineage: Eukaryota; Metazoa; Mollusca; Gastropoda; Lepetellida; Haliotidae
Exons: 3
Source: RefSeq, a predicted model, not a curated record
UAAAUCGGGUCAUAAAUGCAGCUCAUUUGCAUGUGUAGAGUAGAUAAGGAAGUUGUUCCCGUUGAUUCCCUCAGGUUUCCAGUCAAGGCACGUUGAGGAAAACAUAGCCGAACACCCUCACCAAUUUCACUGCAUCUGAUCAAGAGGCCACUGGAGGCGAAGACAUGGCAGAUCAGGAAGACUUUUC